AUUGCACAAUGGGCGCAAGCCUGAUGCAGCAACGCCGCGUGGAGGAAGACGGUUUNCGNNUUGUANANUCCUGUUCUUAGGGANNNNNACAGUGACUGUCCCAAAGGAGCAAGCCACGGCUAACUACGUGCCAGCAGCCGCGGUAAUACGUAGGUGGCAAGCGUUGUCCGGAAUUACUGGGUAUAAAGGGAGCGCAGGCGGGAAGACAAGUCAGCUGUGAAAUACAUGGGCUUAACCGAGGAACUGCAGUUGAAACUGUUUUUCUUGAGUGAAGUAGAGGUUGGCGGAAUUCCGAGUGUAGCGGUGAAAUGCGUAGAUAUUCGGAGGAACACCGGUGGCGAAGGCGGCCAACUGGGCUUUUACUGACAUUGAGGCUCGAAAGCGUGGGGAGCAAACAG
This 398-nucleotide ribosomal RNA is filed under the name uncultured bacterium. RNAcentral's name for it is "partial 16S ribosomal RNA". It matches the Rfam family "Bacterial small subunit ribosomal RNA", at positions 363 to 775 of the family's 1533-position model. The record is from RNAcentral.